UAAGCGGAGGAAAAGAAACCAACCGGGAUUGCCUUAGUAACGGCGAGUGAAGCGGCAAAAGCUCAAAUUUGAAAUCUGGUACCUUCGGUGCCCGAGUUGUAAUUUGGAGAGGGCAACUUUGGGGCCGUUCCUUGUCUAUGUUCCUUGGAACAGGACGUCAUAGAGGGUGAGAAUCCCGUGUGGCGAGGAGUGCGGUUCUUUGUAAAGUGCCUUCGAAGAGUCGAGUUGUUUGGGAAUGCAGCUCUAAGUGGGUGGUAAAUUCCAUCUAAAGCUAAAUAUUGGCGAGAGACCGAUAGCGAACAAGUACAGUGAUGGAAAGAUGAAAAGAACUUUGAAAAGAGAGUGAAAAAGUACGUGAAAUUGUUGAAAGGGAAGGGCAUUUGAUCAGACAUGGUGUUUUGUGCCCUCUGCUCCUUGUGGGUAGGGGAAUCUCGCAUUUCACUGGGCCAGCAUCAGUUUUGGUGGCAGGAUAAAUCCAUAGGAAUGUAGCUUGCCUCGGUAAGUAUUAUAGCCUGUGGGAAUACUGCCAGCUGGGACUGAGGACUGCGACGUAAGUCAAGGAUGCU
RNAcentral lists this ribosomal RNA (566 nucleotides) under Saccharomyces cerevisiae (brewer's yeast). RNAcentral's name for it is "partial large subunit ribosomal RNA". It matches the Rfam family "Eukaryotic large subunit ribosomal RNA", at positions 47 to 627 of the family's 3401-position model. The record is from RNAcentral. Lineage: Eukaryota; Fungi; Ascomycota; Saccharomycetes; Saccharomycetales; Saccharomycetaceae.